RNAcentral lists this ribosomal RNA (330 nucleotides) under uncultured eukaryote. RNAcentral's name for it is "partial 18S ribosomal RNA". It matches the Rfam family "Eukaryotic small subunit ribosomal RNA", at positions 1470 to 1796 of the family's 1831-position model. The record is from RNAcentral.
CCCUUAGAUGUUCUGGGCCGCACGCGCGCUACACUGACGAAGUCAGCGAGCAUCUCCUACGCCGAAAGGUGCGGGGAAUCUUGUGAAACUUUGUCGUGCUGGGGAUUGAUUUUUGAAAUUCUUGAUCAUCAACGAGGAAUUCCUAGUAAGCGCAAGUCAGCAGCUUGCGUUGAUUACGUCCCUGCCCUUUGUACACACCGCCCGUCGCUACUACCAAUUGAAUGGUUUAGUGAGAUUUUUGGACUGGAACUCUCUUGUUCAGCAAUGAACGAGAGGGACUCUGGGAAGCUAUUCUAACUGUAUCAUUUAGAGGAAGUAAAAGUCGUAACA